Molecule: long non-coding RNA, 1721 nt
Filed under: Fukomys damarensis (Damara mole-rat)
Lineage: Eukaryota; Metazoa; Chordata; Mammalia; Rodentia; Bathyergidae
Description: lncRNA (ENSFDAG00000023520.1)
Source: RNAcentral
GGGCAGUGGUUUCAAGGUCCUGUGAAUUUUUUUGUUUGUGGGUUGGCUGGUUCAAUCAACCAUUCAUUCAGAAAGGAUGUGAUGAGAUGUGUCUGCUGUGCCCUGGGUCCUGGGCGAGGUGUGCCGGACACACAGCGGAAUGCGCAGCGGCCAGCAGCCUCUCCCCUUGCUGCCAAAGGUGGACUCACUCCCUCUCAGCAAGCCCCCCACACCAAAGUUCUGCCACCAAAGCCGGGCAGGCCUGACACGGCUGAUGACCAGUAGGGGGUCUUCUUGUUACAGCUUUUUCCCCAGAGAUAAAUAGGCCACAGUAAAAAAGAUUGCUACAUCCUUUCAAUAAAGAUUUUUUUUUUCUAUUCCAGACAGCUUGAGAAAUGUUUUAAAAGCUUCUCACAUUUCCAGUGAAACCCACAGAGAAGAAUUUUGCUUGUUAUCAGCCCUGGAAGCCUCUGAUAGACAGGUGACAUUUUUUUCUUUUUCUUUCCCUUUUUCUUUUUUCCUUUUUUUCACCAGCUGAAGAGAGUCACAGUGUGUUUUAUAACUGGCUCUCUGCAUUUCAAAAGCUCAACGAGGGCUCUCUGCUAACCCCGAUAAGCCUUGGGCUCUUAGCGUCUUAAAUACCUCUGACAAGCUAUACAUUACAGCGCUAAUAAUUUGCCAAAUUUGCGCCCAUAAUAUGAUAUCUGUAAAACGUCAAGGGCAGUAAUGCGAUUAGCGGUCUCAAAUGAAAUAUCGAACAUUCAGCGUUUAGGUCCUGAAUAGGGGGAGAAAGGAAAGGAAAUCAAUUUCAAAAGCAGGAGGGAAAAAGGCGAUAAGCGUAUAAUAAAAAUAGAGAGAGACAGAGAAGAGAUGCUGAGGAAGAGGCGGCGAGCAAGACACGGGCAGAGAUACACCCGACCUGCGUUCGUUGUUUUUAGGCAGCUUUACGAGCACUUGCCGAGAGCAGCUUGCGGAGAGCAGCGAGCGCUAGCACCGCCCCCCCGCCCCGUCCAGCUUCUCCCCAUGCGUUUUUGGGAGCCCACUCCAGCCAGGCUGCUGCUGGGGCACCAGGUGAGGGGCGGCUCACCCUCCCCGAAGCCACAGCCACAGCUGAGUACCUACGACCUGCAGGGAGACGAGACAGAGCUGCGCCAGAAGAAAGAAAACGAUGAUAGACGCAGAAGACAGGGCCUUAGCAAGGGCAUAGCAGCCAGGAAGAGCAGGAUCAACUCCUUUCCCCACUCCAAACGCUGGCGCCCUCUACUCCAGCGCCUCCCUCCGCCUCCCUACAGCUGGAGGCUCACAGCCGCUUCCCAGGCUGCUCAACUAGGCAAGGAAGGGCAAGAGGCGGUGCAGGGCCUCUGGCGGGGUAAAAGUGAGCAGGCGGCUUGGGGCCUGCCCCAGACCCUUCCUCAGGGCAGCCUGGAAUGGCCAUUACAGGGCCACUUCUUGCGGCACCACGAGCCAUUAAAGCAGGAGAGCUCAGGGAGCCAUCAGCCCCCCACAGAUGACUUCCCCAGAUGUGGCAGCGGGCAGGAUGUGGAAGCCCCUAGCCCCAACUCGACAGACAAAACAUUCCCGCACUAACCAUCCUCAGAAACCCCAUAGCCCAGAGCCCCUCUUACAGAUGCUUUCUAGACCAUUUAGCAGGAGGCAGUGUUUAUUUUUGAACAUAUGUUCUUCCCCAUCUCUCCCUUUUCUUCUUCCUUCCUGGCCCUUCCUUCCAUACCAAGGCUGACCAC